This 28-nucleotide non-coding RNA is filed under the name Rattus norvegicus (Norway rat). Lineage: Eukaryota; Metazoa; Chordata; Mammalia; Rodentia; Muridae. The record is from RNAcentral.
UCUGAGAGAAGCUUGGAAGGGCCAAUGU